This 443-nucleotide ribosomal RNA is filed under the name uncultured bacterium. RNAcentral's name for it is "partial 16S ribosomal RNA". It matches the Rfam family "Bacterial small subunit ribosomal RNA", at positions 338 to 795 of the family's 1533-position model. The record is from RNAcentral.
CCUACGGGAGACAGCAGUGGGGAAUAUUGGGCAAUGGGCGCAAGCCUGACCCAGCAACGCCGCGUGAAGGAAGAAGGCUUUCGGGUUGUAAACUUCUUUUCUCAGGGACGAAGCAAGUGACGGUACCUGAGGAAUAAGCCACUGCUAACUACGUGCCAGCAGCCGCGGUAAUACGUAGGUGGCAAGCGUUAUACGGAUUUACGGGGUGAAAGGGGCGUGUAGGCGGGACUGCAAGUCAGAUGUGAAAACCAAGGUCUCAACCGCUGGCCUGCAUUUGAAACUGUAGUUCUUGAGUACUGGAGAGGCAGACGGAAUUCCUAGGGUAGCGGUGAAAUGCGUAGAUAUUAGGAGGAACACCAGUGGCGAAGGCGGUCUGCUGGACAGCAACUGACGCUGAGGCGCGAAAGCGUGGGGAGCAAACAGGAUUAGAUACCCCAGUAGUC